Molecule: unclassified non-coding RNA, 377 nt
Filed under: uncultured delta proteobacterium
Lineage: Bacteria; Deltaproteobacteria
Description: contains 16S-23S intergenic spacer region
Source: RNAcentral
UCCAGUUUAACACUGGCAGUCUCUUUAGAGUGCCCAACUUAAUGGUGGCAACUAAAGAUAGGGGUUGCGCUCGUUGCCGGACUUAACCGAACAUCUUACGACACGAGCUGACGACAGCCAUGCAGCACCUGUCUUGGAGUCCCCGAAGGGAAAGCCUCAUCUCUGAGGAUGUCUCCAGAUGUCAAGACCAGGUAAGGUUCUUCGCGUUGCGUCGAAUUGAACCACAUACUCCACCGCUUGUGCGGGCCCCCGUCAAUUCCUUUGAGUUUUAGUCUUGCGACCGUACUUCCCAGGCGGGAUACUUAAUGCGUAAGCUUUGGUACUCAGAGGGUUAACUCUCCGAACACCUAGUAUCCAUAGUUUAAGGCGUGGACUAC